UACGUAGGGUGCGAGCGUUAAUCGGAAUUACUGGGCGUAAAGCGUGCGCAGGCGGUUUUGUAAGCCAGAUGUGAAAGCCCCGGGCUUAACCUGGGAAUGGCAUUUGGGACUGCAAGGCUUGAGUGCGGCAGAGGAGACUGGAAUUCCUGGUGUAGCAGUGAAAUGCGUAGAUAUCAGGAGGAACACCAGCGGCGAAGGCGGCGCUCUGGGCCGGUACUGACACUGAGGAGCGAAAGCGUGGGGAGCAAACAGG
Molecule: ribosomal RNA, 253 nt
Filed under: uncultured bacterium
Lineage: Bacteria
Description: partial 16S ribosomal RNA
Rfam family: Bacterial small subunit ribosomal RNA
Source: RNAcentral